GGGUUGUGAGGUUAAGCGACUAAGCGUACACGGUGGAUGCCCUGGCAGUCAGAGGCGAUGAAGGGCGUGCUAAUCUGCGAUAAGCGCCGGUAAGGUGAUAUGAACCGUUAUAACCGGCGAUACCCGAAUGGGGAAACCCAGUGUGAUUCGUCACACUAUCAUUAACUGAAUCCAUAGGUUAAUGAGG
RNAcentral lists this ribosomal RNA (187 nucleotides) under Salmonella enterica subsp. enterica serovar Derby. Its description in RNAcentral is "partial 23S ribosomal RNA". It matches the Rfam family "Bacterial large subunit ribosomal RNA", at positions 1 to 179 of the family's 2925-position model. The record is from RNAcentral. RNAcentral also lists the same sequence under 2 other names. Lineage: Bacteria; Pseudomonadati; Pseudomonadota; Gammaproteobacteria; Enterobacterales; Enterobacteriaceae.